This 199-nucleotide long non-coding RNA is filed under the name Capsicum annuum. RNAcentral's name for it is "long non-coding RNA (CANN_LNC002021)". Lineage: Eukaryota; Viridiplantae; Streptophyta; Magnoliopsida; Solanales; Solanaceae. The record is from RNAcentral.
CUCCAACUUAAAAAUUAAAUUUUCUAGUUUGAAAACUUGAUCAAACAGUUAUUUCAAGUAAAAUUGUUCUCUCUCUUCCUCCUCCCCCAAAAACAAAAAAAGAAAAAAAAAAAAAAACUUUUCCUCUAAAAUUUUAUUAAAAUGUCCAUAAUAUUUACUUGUAUAAUGACGGCAAAACAUACAUCAUCUGGAAUGUGCA